GGCAAAUUCUCAAGAACCAUGGAGACAAUCAAUUGCAGUCUCAGCUAUGCCAUUGCCUUCCUCUUCUCCUUCUAUUUCCUUGUAUUCUCUGCUCACUCAAAAUCACCUCUCCUGGGUGUCCACCCCUUAGAUCAGAAGUACUUUGCUUCGCGGGUCAUCAAGUGCAAGGACGGCUCGAAAUCCUUCACCAGAGACCGUCUCAAUGAUAAUUUCUGCGAUUGCGUUGAUGGGACAGACGAACCCGGAACUUCAGCCUGUCCCAGAGGCAAAUUUUAUUGCAGCAAUUUAGGAAGUAAACCUCAGUUUAUUUUUUCAUCUCGUGUUAAUGAUCGAAUUUGUGGUGAGUAUAAUUAGUAAAAUUGAUUAUUUACUGCCUCAGAUGGUUCAGGUGCAGUAACCUAAGUUUUAUGAUCUACACACCUCACUGGAUUUGAGAAUGACCUGCAUCAUUCGAGGGAAGACUUCUACAUUUUUUUGUAGUGAAUCACUUACGUUGACUGUUUGUUUGUCUUGUUUUUGCACUUGCCGUGCUUACUAAUUUCUGCAACUGUGUGACUUGAUGCCUAGGAGGUCAUCAUUUUUUAUGAUCUACUAAAGUAGCACAUUGAGUUGUUGACAAAUUAGUAAUGUGAUGACUCUUAUUCUCUAAAGAACUUCAGUUUUUGUCUUUUUUAUUGUUGAUAUGAGGUGUUAGGUCCAUCAAAUAUGCUGUCCAGUUUAAGUUGGCCUGGUUGGCAACAUCAUAUUUGUUAAUACUGAAUGAGUUGCUAUGUGCACUUCAAGCAGUUUAUCUAUACUGCUUCAAUCCUGUUUUCUAUAAUAUAUGAAGUUUGCUUUUUCUUUUGAUUAAUAAACUUAGUUUUGUUCUUGUGUUGUACAAUGAUUCCAUCUGUCAAUUUAUUAACUUUGUAGAUUGCUGUGAUGGAAGCGAUGAGUAUGAUGGUGGAAUUAAUUGCCCAAACACAUGUGUCAUGGGUGGAAAUUUGGAGUACAGGGCUAAAAAUAUUGUCUUAUCUAUUGAUGCAAAGGAAUCAAAAGAUGAUGUUCUUUUGGACGACUUAUUGCAUAAAGCAAAAGGUGUGCUUUAAGUAUCAUUUUCUUUCUUCUUUUUCUUAAUUUCUUUUUUAAGCCAAGGUGCAGUUACAAGUAAUGUGAAUAAGGCUAUACUUGUUGAUUCUAGGUUUGAAGAUGGUGAUAAUCCUACAGAUGGUUCUUCUUGGUUGUGUGAUAACAUUUCGUUUAUUUCGUCGGCAUGGAAAAUUAAAAAGAAGGCAUUAUCAUGAAAGAACUCCAUUGAUGACUUAGGUAAAAGCCUCUUUACUAUUUUGGAGUGUCACUUCUGCGGAAUAGUUCAAAUUUCCCACUAGCUAAUCAUGGUUAUGCAUUCAUUAUGUCUCCAAUAUUGGUCAUUGCAGGUCCCUACUGGGACAUUCUGGUAUUUAUUGCAUUUGUCGUGGAGGUUUUUCCUUCUCGAUACCAAGUGUAUUCAUGGGAGUUGAACUAUAUGGAGGUUGAUGCAUUGCCAUUGGUUAUACAAAGUGUACGAGUGCAUAUGUUGCAACUAAUACAAUCUCCGAAGGCUCGGGAUAUACUUCAACAUAGAACUACACUGUAACACUAAAUAAAAAAAAGAAACAUUGGGCAGCACAGCUGCAUCAUAGGUUUAACUAUCAUUGUAGGCGUAUUAAAUUGGAAAGAACAGUUUUGGGGUGGUAGUGACUGCAAGAAAGAUUAUGUCCAAUUUCUGUGCUUUCUUGUGCUUUUCUUUGAUGCUAUCUCAAGCUUGCCUUUGCUAGAGAAAUGAUUUAUGUAUUAAUGAUCAAAAAAUUUCCCAUGCUUCUCUGUUAUACACCUCGGAGCGAGAAACUGAGAAUGUAAAUAUAAAUAUUUUCUCAAUCUAGAGAAUGAAAUUACAAAAUUA
RNAcentral lists this unclassified non-coding RNA (1921 nucleotides) under Hevea brasiliensis (rubber tree). Lineage: Eukaryota; Viridiplantae; Streptophyta; Magnoliopsida; Malpighiales; Euphorbiaceae. The record is from RNAcentral.